RNAcentral lists this ribosomal RNA (530 nucleotides) under Megophrys major. RNAcentral describes it as "Xenophrys major partial 16S ribosomal RNA". It matches the Rfam family "Bacterial large subunit ribosomal RNA", at positions 1857 to 2597 of the family's 2925-position model. Lineage: Eukaryota; Metazoa; Chordata; Amphibia; Anura; Megophryidae. The record is from RNAcentral.
GCCUGCCCAGUGACCAUGUGUUCAACGGCCGCGGUAUUCUGACCGCGCGAAGGUAGCGUAAUCACUUGUCUUCUAAAUAAAGACUAGUAUGAACGGCCACACGAAGACUUAACUGUCUCCCCUGUCCAAUCAGUGAAACUGAUCUCCUUGUGCAGAAGCGAGGAUAAACCCAUAAGACGAGAAGACCCUAUGGAGCUUUAAACUUAAUAUUAACUAUUUCUAUAAUCCCCUCUAAGGAAUUAACAAAUAACCCCUUUCAACUUAAUAUUAGUUUUAGGUUGGGGCGACCAUGGAGAAAAAAAUAUCCUCCCUGAUGACUUUUAAACCAAGAGCUACAACUCUAAGUAUUAAGAUACUUAACUUCCAUUGACCCAUUUUAUGAUCAACGAACCAAGUUACCCUAGGGAUAACAGCGCAAUCCAUUUCAAGAGUCCCUAUCGACAAAUGGGUUUACGACCUCGAUGUUGGAUCAGGGCAUCCCAGUGGUGCAACCGCUACUAAUGGUUCGUUUGUUCAACGAUUAAAGCCCU